CUCCUGGAAACGGGUGGUAAUGCCGGAUGUUCCACAUGAGCGCAUGCGAGUGUGGGAAAGGCUUUUUGCGGCAUGGGAUGGGGUCGCGUCCUAUCAGCUUGUUGGUGGGGUAACGGCCUACCAAGGCGUUGACGGGUAGCCGGCCUGAGAGGGCGACCGGCCACAUUGGGACUGAGAUACGGCCCAGACUCCUACGGGAGGCAGCAGUGGGGAAUAUUGCACAAUGGGCGCAAGCCUGAUGCAGCGACGCCGCGUGCGGGAUGGAGGCCUUCGGGUUGUAAACCGCUUUUGUUCAAGGGCAAGGCACGGUUUCGGCCGUGUUGAGUGGAUUGUUCGAAUAAGCACCGGCUAACUACGUGCCAGCAGCCGCGGUAAUACGUAGGGUGCAAGCGUUAUCCGGAUUUAUUGGGCGUAAAGGGCUCGUAGGCGGUUCGUCGCGUCCGGUGUGAAAGUCCAUCGCUUAACGGUGGAUCCGCGCCGGGUACGGGCGGGCUUGAGUGCGGUAGGGGAGACUGGAUUCCCGGUGUAACGGUGGAAUGUGUAGAUAUCGGGAAGAACACCC
RNAcentral lists this ribosomal RNA (562 nucleotides) under uncultured Bifidobacterium sp. RNAcentral describes it as "bacterial SSU rRNA". It matches the Rfam family "Bacterial small subunit ribosomal RNA", at positions 147 to 711 of the family's 1533-position model. The record is from RNAcentral. Lineage: Bacteria; Bacillati; Actinomycetota; Actinomycetes; Bifidobacteriales; Bifidobacteriaceae.